UACGGAGGGUGCAAACGUUGCUCGGAAUCAUUGGGCGUAAAGCGCGCGUAGGCGGCGAAGCAAGUUGGAUGUGAAAGCCCUGGGCUCAACCUAGGAUGUGCAUACAAAACUGCUUCGCUUGAAUCUCGGAGGGGGUCAGGGAAUUCCCGGUGUAGAGGUGAAAUUCGUAGAUAUCGGGAGGAACACCAGUGGCGAAGGCGCUGACCUGGACGAUGAUUGACGCUGAGGAGCGAAAGCGUGGGGAGCAAACAGG
RNAcentral lists this ribosomal RNA (253 nucleotides) under uncultured bacterium. RNAcentral's name for it is "partial 16S ribosomal RNA". It matches the Rfam family "Bacterial small subunit ribosomal RNA", at positions 524 to 776 of the family's 1533-position model. The record is from RNAcentral.